This 397-nucleotide ribosomal RNA is filed under the name uncultured bacterium. Its description in RNAcentral is "partial 16S ribosomal RNA". It matches the Rfam family "Bacterial small subunit ribosomal RNA", at positions 523 to 918 of the family's 1533-position model. The record is from RNAcentral.
AUACAUAGGGGGCGAGCGUUGUCCGGAAUGAUUGGGCGUAAAGGGCGCGUAGGCGGCGCGGUAAGUCUGGAGUGAAAGUCCUGCUUUCAAGGUGGGAAUUGCUUUGGAUACUGCCGCGCUUGAGUGCAGGAGAGGUUAUCGGAAUUCCCGGUGUAGCGGUGAAAUGCGUAGAGAUCGGGAGGAACACCAGUGGCGAAGGCGGGUAACUGGACUGCAACUGACGCUGAGGCGCGAAAGUGUGGGGAGCAAACAGGAUUAGAUACCCUGGUAGUCCACACUGUAAACGAUGAAUGCUAGGUGUAAGAGGUAUCGACCCCUUCUGUGCCGGAGUCAACACAAUAAGCAUUCCGCCUGGGGAGUACGGCCGCAAGGUUGAAACUCAAAGGAAUUGACGGGG